This 486-nucleotide ribosomal RNA is filed under the name uncultured bacterium. Its description in RNAcentral is "partial 16S ribosomal RNA". It matches the Rfam family "Bacterial small subunit ribosomal RNA", at positions 30 to 507 of the family's 1533-position model. The record is from RNAcentral.
AUUGAACGCUGGCGGCAUGCCUUACACAUGCAAGUCGAACGGCAGCACGGGUGCUUGCACCUGGUGGCGAGUGGCGAACGGGUGAGUAAUACAUCGGAACAUGUCCUGUAGUGGGGGGUAGCCCGGCGAAAGCCGGAUUAAUACCGCAUACGAUCUACGGAUGAAAGCGGGGGACCUUCGGGCCUCGCGCUAUAGGGUUGGCCGAUGGCUGAUUAGCUAGUUGGUGGGGUAAAGGCCUACCAAGGCGACGAUCAGGAGCUGGUCUGAGAGGACGACAAGCCACACUGGGACUGGGCCACGGCCCAGACUCCUACGGGAGGCAGCAGUGGGGAAUUUUGGACAAUGGGCGAAAGCCUGAUCCAGCAAUGCCGCGUGUGUGAAGAAGGCCUUCGGGUUGUAAAGCACUUUUGUCCGGAAAGAAAUCCUUGGCCCUAAUACGGUCGGGGGAUGACGGUACCGGAUGAAUAAGCACCGGCUAACUACGUG